Long non-coding RNA from Cebus imitator (Panamanian white-faced capuchin), 1229 nucleotides. RefSeq lists it as uncharacterized. The transcript is spliced from 2 exons. NCBI's taxonomy places the organism in Eukaryota, Metazoa, Chordata, Mammalia, Primates, Cebidae. The record is from RefSeq and is a predicted model, not a curated record.
GUUGGCCUCCUUACUUUUGAGGUUUUGGGACUCAGACUGGCUUCCUAGCUCCUCAGCUUGCAGAUGGCCUAUUGUGGGGCUUCACCUUGUGAUCACGCACAGGAGAAGAUUAUUAAGUUUUGAGGUUCUACAGCAAGUAAGUGAUAGAUCUGGGAUCUGAACACAGCCAAUCUGCCUCCAGAGCCUGGGCUUUUAACUGUAUACUGAUUCAGAGCAAACAGAGAGAUGGUGUCCUUGAAAAAGUAAGGGCUUUGGGAUCAGAUGAACUAAGAUGAGAAACCUGUAUGACGCUGGGAAGGCUACUGAUAUACCUCAAGUUUAAGUCUCCAAGUCAACAAAAUGAGUGCUAAUCCUGGCAUCAAGGGAUUAAGUGAGAUGGGUUUACCAAGUACCUAGCACAGGGCCUGGCAGGGUAGUUGAUAACAGUUUGCUUCGUUCCAGGGAUUUCUGUUAAGGAAAAUAUUUGAGGACUACACGUAGUUGUGUAUACUGUAGGGGAGGCAAAACCUUACUUCCACCCUCUAAGUCCCAGAUGGACCUGAGACUUAAAUUGACAUAAAACAGAUUAACAGGAAAAAAGCAUUCAAAUUUCAUAAAAGUUUUAUAUGACAUAAGAGCCCUCAUUAGGGAAAUGAAGACCCAAAGAAGUGGCAAAACCUGAAUGCUUUUAUAUUUGGUUGAACAAAGAGAGGUAACUGUGGGAAAAGUAAAUUAUUUGGGGAGGAUAAAGGGAGAAAAUUAUUUUAACAAAGUUGCUGGUACAGAAUGCACUUGGCUUUGACUCUUUAUUGAGUAAUGUUUCUUUCCUCUUGGUACAGUGAAGCCAUUUUUCACAUGGGAGUUUUUAUCUCCUGUUUUCAGGAAGAAAAGAGGAAAUUCAAAUGCCCUUCUUGCAUCUGCUAUUUUUCAAGUGCCUUUAGCUCAAAGUAAUCCUUAUGCCAAAGUGGCAUAUUUUGGGCAGCAUAUUCUGCCAUCCUUCAGUAGAACGAUGAGAAAGAUGUUCACUGCAGUGAAACACAUGUACACAAAAAUCAGAAGGGCUAGAAAGAAACCUAUACCUAUCAAGGUGCUAUUAAAGUUAAUUUGCUUUUAAAAAUAUAAUCAAUCCUGAUUUUCUUGCUUGGGAGAUGAAUGAAAAAUAUAUUUUCAAUGAAGUUUAACUUCCAAGUAACACUAUGCCAUAGCAGCUAUGUACAUUCACAUGCUCAAUAAAUUCAGUGUGAUUUGAA